GAAAUCAGAAAAGUGAAAUUGAAUUACCAUUUACAACUGAUGCCGAUCCUAAAAUGUAUAAAAUCGAACUUGUGAACAAUUUCAAUUCAAUUAUAUAUCCAUAAGGAAUGGAUAGAGUUAUAAAUUUGAUUUGUUCAUGCGAAUACAUCGAGUUCAGAGUCACCAAACAGAAAUGAAAAUCCGUAAGAUACAGAUAAAAGUUUUACAGAAUAUGGCGCAUCCCUCAUCUAGUUUCACUGAAGCAUAAAAUGUCAGCUACAUUGUAAUGCAAUUAUGGGGAUAGUCUAGUCGUCAUCUUCUUCCAUAUCUGAUAAUUCUGCAUCCUCAUCAGAGUCAUUGUCACUCUCGGAUUCACUCACUACAUAUAUCUUUUGCGUACGAUUAGCCCUCUGAGGCCUUGCCAUUGCUNNN
Molecule: long non-coding RNA, 411 nt
Filed under: Trifolium pratense (red clover)
Lineage: Eukaryota; Viridiplantae; Streptophyta; Magnoliopsida; Fabales; Fabaceae
Description: long non-coding RNA (TPRA_LNC009985)
Source: RNAcentral